Molecule: ribosomal RNA, 1039 nt
Filed under: Campylobacter jejuni
Lineage: Bacteria; Pseudomonadati; Campylobacterota; Epsilonproteobacteria; Campylobacterales; Campylobacteraceae
Description: partial 23S ribosomal RNA
Rfam family: Bacterial large subunit ribosomal RNA
Source: RNAcentral
UUUUGCAUAAUGAGCCUGCGAGUUGUGGUGUCUGGCAAGGUUAAGCAAACGCGAAGCCGUAGCGAAAGCGAGUCUGAAUAGGGCGCUUAGUCAGAUGCUGCAGACCCGAAACGAAGUGAUCUAUCCAUGAGCAAGUUGAAGCUAGUGUAAGAACUAGUGGAGGACUGAACCCAUAGGCGUUGAAAAGCCCCGGGAUGACUUGUGGAUAGGGGUGAAAGGCCAAUCAAACUUCGUGAUAGCUGGUUCUCUCCGAAAUAUAUUUAGGUAUAGCGUUGUGUCGUAAUAUAAGGGGGUAGAGCACUGAAUGGGCUAGGGCAUACACCAAUGUACCAAACCCUAUCAAACUCCGAAUACCUUAUAUGUAAUCACAGCAGUCAGGCGGCGAGUGAUAAAAUCCGUCGUCAAGAGGGAAACAACCCAGACUACCAGCUAAGGUCCCUAAAUCUUACUUAAGUGGAAAACGAUGUGAAGUUACUUAAACAACCAGGAGGUUGGCUUAGAAGCAGCCAUCCUUUAAAGAAAGCGUAAUAGCUCACUGGUCUAGUGAUUUUGCGCGGAAAAUAUAACGGGGCUAAAGUAAGUACCGAAGCUGUAGACUUGCACACAACUUAGAUUAUUUAAGUUUAGAAUAUGAGAAACUAAGUUAUAUGUUUAGUUAUAUUUUUACUGAUUUUUAUAGAGUAAAGAUAGAAAUAAAACUUAGUAAAAUCAGUAAAAAUAUUCUUAGACUAAAGUUAAGUAGUUUAAGUUGUGUGCAAGUGGUAGGAGAGCGUUCUAUUUGCGUCGAAGGUAUACCGGUAAGGAGUGCUGGAGCGAAUAGAAGUGAGCAUGCAGGCAUGAGUAGCGAUAAUUAAUGUGAGAAUCAUUAACGCCGUAAACCCAAGGUUUCCUACGCGAUGCUCGUCAUCGUAGGGUUAGUCGGGUCCUAAGUCGAGUCCGAAAGGGGUAGACGAUGGCAAAUUGGUUAAUAUUCCAAUACCAACAUUAGUGUGCGAUGGAAGGACGCUUAGGGCUAAGGGGGCUAGCGGAUGGAAGUGCU